This 99-nucleotide non-coding RNA is filed under the name Listeria fleischmannii. Its description in RNAcentral is "SAM-I sequence". It matches the Rfam family "SAM riboswitch aptamer (S box leader)". From Rfam's summary of the family: The SAM riboswitch is found upstream of a number of genes which code for proteins involved in methionine or cysteine biosynthesis in Gram-positive bacteria. The SAM riboswitch acts at the level of transcription termination control. Lineage: Bacteria; Bacillati; Bacillota; Bacilli; Caryophanales; Listeriaceae. The record is from RNAcentral.
UUCUUAUCAAGAAAGGCGGAGGGACUGGCCCAAUGAUGCCUUAGCAACCGGAUGUAAAUCACGGUGCUAAUUCCAGCAGUUAAUUCUGAAAGAUAAGUC